Molecule: ribosomal RNA, 497 nt
Filed under: uncultured bacterium
Lineage: Bacteria
Description: partial 16S ribosomal RNA
Rfam family: Bacterial small subunit ribosomal RNA
Source: RNAcentral
GACGAACGCUGGCGGCGUGCCUAAUACAUGCAAGUUGAGCGAUGAAGCUUGGUGCUUGCCCCAAUUUGAAGAGCAGCGAACGGGUGAGUAACGCGUGGGGAAUCUGCCUUUGAGCGGGGGACAACAUUUGGAAACGAAUGCUAAUACCGCAUAACAACUUUAAACAUAAGUUUUAAGUUUGAAAGAUGCAAUUGCAUCACUCAAAGAUGAUCCCGCGUUGUAUUAGCUAGUUGGUGAGGUAAAGGCUCACCAAGGCGAUGAUACAUAGCCGACCUGAGAGGGUGAUCGGCCAAAUUGGGACUGAGACACGGCCCAAACUCCUACGGGAGGCAGCAGUAGGGAAUCUUCGGCAAUGGACGAAAGUCUGACCGAGCAACGCCGCGUGAGUGAAGAAGGUUUUCGGAUCGUAAAACUCUGUUGGUAGAGAAGAACGUUGGUGAGAGUGGAAAGCUCAUCAAGUGACGGUAACUACCCAGAAAGGGACGGCUAACUACGUG